Molecule: ribosomal RNA, 427 nt
Filed under: uncultured bacterium
Lineage: Bacteria
Description: partial 16S ribosomal RNA
Rfam family: Bacterial small subunit ribosomal RNA
Source: RNAcentral
UGGGGAAUAUUGCACAAUGGGCGCAAGCCUGAUGCAGCCAUGCCGCGUGUGUGAAGAAGGCCUUCGGGUUGUAAAGCACUUUCAGCGAGGAGGAAGGGUAGUGUGUUAAUAGCACAUUGCAUUGACGUUACUCGCAGAAGAAGCACCGGCUAACUCCGUGCCCGCAGCCGCGGUAAUACGGAGGGUGCAAGCGUUACUCGGAAUUACUGGGCGUAAAGCGCACGCAGGCGGUUUGUUAAGUCAGAUGUGAAAUCCCCGCGCUUAACGUGGGAACUGCAUUUGAAACUGGCAAGCUAGAGUCUUGUAGAGGGGGGUAGAAUUCCAGGUGUAGCGGUGAAAUGCGUAGAGAUCUGGAGGAAUACCGGUGGCGAAGGCGGCCCCCUGGACAAAGACUGACGCUCAGGUGCGAAAGCGUGGGGAGCAAACA